ACCUGCAGUUCAGCCUAAGUACACCAUCUGAAGCUAAGCAGGUGUUAGCAUGGCUAGUACUUGCAUGCGAGACCAACUAUGAAAGCUAGGUUGCUGCUGGAA
This 102-nucleotide ribosomal RNA is filed under the name Paramormyrops kingsleyae. Lineage: Eukaryota; Metazoa; Chordata; Actinopteri; Osteoglossiformes; Mormyridae. The record is from RNAcentral.